GAGUUUGAUCUUGGCUCAGAGCGAACGCUAGCGGCAGGCCUCAAACAUGCAAGUCGUACGCGAAAGUGUAGCAAUACAUGAGUAGAGUGGCGCACGGGUGAGUAACACGUAGCUAACCUCCCCUCUCGCUGGGGACAACUCCGGGAAACCGGAGCUAAUACCGAAUAAUCUAAUCGAGUCUGCGGGCUUGAUUGGUAAAGUCGUAAGACGCGAGAGGAUGGGGCUGCGGCCUAUUAACUAGUUGGUAGGGUAAUGGCCUACCAAGGUGACGAUAGGUAGCUGGUCUGAGAGGACGACCAGCCACACUGGAACUGACACACGGUCCAGACUCCCACGGGAGGCAGCAGUUGGGAAUAUUGGACAAUGGGGGCAACCCUGAUCCAGCCAUGCCGCGUGAAGGAUGAAGGCCUUCGGGUCGUAAACUUCUUUUAGUCAGGGAAAAAGGGAAACGUUAGAUGGUACCUGCAGAAAAAGACACCGGCUAACU
This 487-nucleotide ribosomal RNA is filed under the name uncultured delta proteobacterium. Its description in RNAcentral is "bacterial SSU rRNA". It matches the Rfam family "Bacterial small subunit ribosomal RNA", at positions 9 to 502 of the family's 1533-position model. Lineage: Bacteria; Deltaproteobacteria. The record is from RNAcentral.